AGUCGAUUAUUCAUAAAUAAGAGUAGUGGACAGAAGUGAUUUCUGAGGAAUUCUACAAUGAGACU
Myripristis murdjan (pinecone soldierfish) is the source of this 65-nucleotide small nucleolar RNA. Ensembl annotates it as small nucleolar RNA SNORD75. Lineage: Eukaryota; Metazoa; Chordata; Actinopteri; Holocentriformes; Holocentridae. The record is from Ensembl.